UUUUUAUUAUUUUAUUUAUUGUUAAUUUUAUAAACGAUAAUUAAAAAAACAUAACAGUAACAUAAUUACUAAAGAUCAAAUUUACACCGUCUUAAGCUAUUACUUUUACGAAAAAAAUUCACACUCGUAUAGCCAUUGUUAUAUAAAUUGGUAAAUUUAAAUAUUCUUAAAAAAAAAGAAAAACAAAAUGUCAAAUCGCUUAAAAUACAAGACAGGUAAAAAAUAAAAAAUAAAAAAUUAAUUUGUCCAUCAAAUUAUUUUUCUCGUUCCACACUUCCGUAGGUUUACGUAAACCGCUUAACCGUACGACCGUCUGAGUAGCGGUUUUCCUUCCGUAACUAUUUUUAUCCAAUGUCUUAUUUAAAGUAAAUGCUUUAAAGGUUAGUUUCAAUGGCUAAUACGCAAAGCGUCAUAACUAUAAUAUUUUCAAUUAAAGAUUGAGAUCAAUUAGAAAUAUUAAGUAAUCUCGUAGAUCACAAAAUUAUUUUUUAUUUCAAGUAUCAAUUAUAUUCGUUGUAUUUUUCAUUCUUGUUUGUGAUUUAUUUUUACACUAUAGUGUAAAUACUUGCGUUAUGUUUUAUAUAAAAUAACUUUUGAGGAUGAAUAAAAGUUAUAAAAUAUAUAUUUUCAAGAAAGCUAUCAUAACAAAAGUUCGUAAAUAAAGUUGAACACAGGUCAACAUAUAUAUGUAUGUAUUUAAGACAAAUUGAGAUAUUAUAAGUGUAACUGUGUAACGGAUUAGUUAGAAUGAUUUGUAUAAACGACUAUUUUUGUGAAAUCAUCUAAUCAUUAAAAACAUUAAAUUGUA
Molecule: unclassified non-coding RNA, 808 nt
Filed under: Melitaea cinxia (Glanville fritillary)
Lineage: Eukaryota; Metazoa; Arthropoda; Insecta; Lepidoptera; Nymphalidae
Description: misc RNA ENSMCXG00005019673.1
Source: RNAcentral